GAUGAAGAACGCAGCGAAAUGCGAUACGUAGUGUGAAUUGCAGAAUUCAGUGAAUCAUCGAAUCUUUGAACGCACAUUGCACCUCUCGGUAUUCCGGGAGGUAUGCCUGUUCGAGCGUCAUUUGAACCCUCAAGCUCUGCUUGGUGUUGGGUGUUUGUUCCGCCUCUGUGUGUGAACUCGCCUCAAAACAAUUGGCAGCCGGCGUACUUGUUUCGGAGCGCAGCACAUUUUGCGAUCCAGAUCAACGUACAGCGGCAUCCAAGAAGCCUUAUUUAACGCUCUUGACCUCGGAUCAGGUAGGGAUACCCGCUGAACUUAAGCAUAUCAAUAAGCGGAGGA
RNAcentral lists this unclassified non-coding RNA (339 nucleotides) under soil metagenome. Its description in RNAcentral is "partial contains 5.8S ribosomal RNA, internal transcribed spacer 2, and large subunit ribosomal RNA". The stretch from base 1 to 120 matches the Rfam family "5.8S ribosomal RNA", at positions 35 to 154 of the family's 154-position model. The record is from RNAcentral.